UACGUAGGUGACAAGCGUUGUCCGGAUUUAUUGGGCGUAAAGCGAGCGCAGGCGGUCUUUUAAGUCUGAUGUGAAAGCCCACGGCUCAACCGUGGAGGGUCAUUGGAAACUGGGGGACUUGAGUACAGAAGAGGAAAGUGGAAUUCCACGUGUAGCGGUGAAAUGCGUAGAGAUGUGGAGGAACACCAGUGGCGAAGGCGACUUUCUGGUCUGUAACUGACGCUGAGGCGCGAAAGCGUGGGGAGCAAACAGG
RNAcentral lists this ribosomal RNA (253 nucleotides) under uncultured bacterium. RNAcentral's name for it is "partial 16S ribosomal RNA". It matches the Rfam family "Bacterial small subunit ribosomal RNA", at positions 524 to 776 of the family's 1533-position model. The record is from RNAcentral.